AGAGUUUGAUCCUGGCUCAGGAUGAACUUUGGCGGCAUGCCUAAUACAUGCAAGUCGAACGAGAGGAAGGAAAGCUUGCUUUUCUGAAUCUAGUGGCGAACGGGUGAGUAACACGUAGGUAACCUGCCCAUGUGCCCGGGAUAACUUCUGGAAACGGAUGCUAAAACCGGAUAGGUAGCAGACAAGCAUUUGACUGCUAUUAAAGUGGCUAAGGCCAUGAACAUGGAUGGACCUGCGGUGCAUUAGCUAGUUGGUGAGGUAACGGCCCACCAAGGCGACGAUGCAUAGCCGGCCUGAGAGGGCGGACGGCCACAUUGGGACUGAGACACGGCCCAAACUCCUACGGGAGGCAGCAGUAGGGAAUUUUCGUCAAUGGGGGGAACCCUGAACGAGCAAUGCCGCGUGAGUGAGGAAGGUCUUCGGAUCGUAAAGCUCUGUUGUAAGAGAAAAACGACAUUCAUAGGGAAUGAUGAGUGAGUGAUGGUAUCUUACCAGAAAGUCACGGCUAACUACGUGCCAGCAGCCGCGGUAAUACGUAGGUGGCGAGCGUUAUCCGGAAUGAUUGGGCGUAAAGGGUGCGUAGGUGGCAGAACAAGUCUGGAGUAAAAGGUAUGGGCUCAACCCGUACUGGCUCUGGAAACUGUUCAGCUAGAGAACAGAAGAGGACGGCGGAACUCCAUGUGUAGCGGUAAAAUGCGUAGAUAUAUGGAAGAACACCGGUGGCGAAGGCGGCCGUCUGGUCUGUUGCUGACACUGAAGCACGAAAGCGUGGGGAGCAAAUAGGAUUAGAUACCCUAGUAGUCCACGCCGUAAACGAUGAG
RNAcentral lists this ribosomal RNA (821 nucleotides) under uncultured bacterium. RNAcentral's name for it is "bacterial SSU rRNA". It matches the Rfam family "Bacterial small subunit ribosomal RNA", at positions 8 to 813 of the family's 1533-position model. The record is from RNAcentral.